RNAcentral lists this non-coding RNA (86 nucleotides) under Giesbergeria anulus. Lineage: Bacteria; Pseudomonadati; Pseudomonadota; Betaproteobacteria; Burkholderiales; Comamonadaceae. The record is from RNAcentral.
CUUUACGGUGGGCUGUGUGGGGACACCCGCAAGGGUGUGCCGGAACCUUGGGCCGGUUCGCCAACCCCGCAUGGUCUGCCACCCCC